CAGUAGCCGCGGGAAUACGUAGGGUGCGAGCGUUAAUCGGAAUUACUGGGCGUAAAGCGUGCGCAGGCGGUUCGUUAAGACAGAUGUGAAAUCCCCGGGCUUAACCUGGGAACUGCAUUUGUGACUGGCGAGCUAGAGUAUGGCAGAGGGGGGUAGAAUUCCACGUGUAGCAGUGAAAUGCGUAGAGAUGUGGAGGAACACCGAUGGCGAAGGCAAUCCCCUGGGCCUGCACUGACGCUCAUGCGCGAAAGCGUGGGGAGCAAACAGGAUUAGAUACCCCCGUAGUCCCUGUCUCUUAUAC
This 301-nucleotide ribosomal RNA is filed under the name uncultured bacterium. RNAcentral's name for it is "partial 16S ribosomal RNA". It matches the Rfam family "Bacterial small subunit ribosomal RNA", at positions 509 to 807 of the family's 1533-position model. The record is from RNAcentral.